Molecule: ribosomal RNA, 369 nt
Filed under: uncultured organism
Description: bacterial SSU rRNA
Rfam family: Bacterial small subunit ribosomal RNA
Source: RNAcentral
CGAAGGAUGCAAGCGUUAUCCGGAUUCAUUGGGUUUAAAGGGUGCGUAGGCGGACUGAUAAGUCAGUGGUGAAAUCUCUUUGCUUAACAAAGAAACUGCCAUUAAUACUGUCGGUCUAGAGUAUAGAUGACGUUGGCGGAAUAUGACAUGUAGUGGUGAAAUACUUAGAUAUGUCAUAGAACACCGAUUGCGAAGGCAGCUAACGAAACUAUAACUGACGCUGAGGCACAAAAGUGCGGGGAUCAAACAGGAUUAGAUACCCUGGUAGUCCGCACCGUAAACGAUGAUUACUCGUUGUUGGCGAUAUGACAGUCAGCGACCAAGCGAAAGCGAUAAGUAAUCCACCUGGGGAGUACGCCGGCAACGGUG